CGCAUACGUCCUACGGGAGAAAGGGGGCUUCGGCUCCCGCUAUUGGAUGAGCCUAUGUCGGAUUAGCUAGUUGGUGAGGUAAAGGCUCACCAAGGCAACGAUCCGUAGCUGGUCUGAGAGGAUGAUCAGCCACAUCGGGACUGAGACACGGCCCGAACUCCUACGGGAGGCAGCAGUGGGGAAUAUUGGACAAUGGGGGCAACCCUGAUCCAGCCAUGCCGCGUGUGUGAAGAAGGCCCUCGGGUUGUAAAGCACUUUCAGCGAGGAAGAACGCCUAGCGGUUAAUACCCGUUAGGAAAGACAUCACUCGCAGAAGAAGCACCGGCUAACUCCGUGCCAGCAGCCGCGGUAAUACGGAGGGUGCAAGCGUUAAUCGGAAUUACUGGGCGUAAAGCGCGCGUAGGUGGCUUGAUAAGCCGGUUGUGAAAGCCCCGGGCUCAACCUGGGAACGGCAUCCGGAACUGUCAGGCUAGAGUGCAGGAGAGGAAGGUAGAAUUCCCGGUGUAGCGGUGAAAUGCGUAGAGAUCGGGAGGAAUACCAGUGGCGAAGGCGGCCUUCUGGACUGACACUGACACUGAGGUGCGAAAGCGUGGGUAGCAAACAGGAUUAGAUACCCUGGUAGUCCACGCCGUAAACGAUGUCGACCAGCCGUUGGGUGCCUAGAGCACUUUGUGGCGAAGUUAACGCGAUAAGUCGACCGCCUGGGGAGUACGGCCGCAAGGUUAAAACUCAAAUGAAUUGACGGGGGCCCGCACAAGCGGUGGAGCAUGUGGUUUAAUUCGAUGCAACGCGAAGAACCUUACCUACCCUUGACAUCUACAGAAGCCGGAAGAGAUUCUGGUGUGCCUUCGGGAACUGUAAGACAGGUGCUGCAUGGCUGUCGUCAGCUCGUGUUGUGAAAUGUUGGGUUAAGUCCCGUAACGAGCGCAACCCUUGUCCUUAUUUGCCAGCGAGUAAUGUCGGGAACUCUAAGGAGACUGCCGGUGACAAACCGGAGGAAGGUGGGGACGACGUCAAGUCAUCAUGGCCCUUACGGGUAGGGCUACACACGUGCUACAAUGGCCGGUACAAAGGGCUGCGAGCUCGCGAGAGUCAGCGAAUCCCUUAAAGCCGGUCUCAGUCCGGAUCGGAGUCUGCAACUCGACUCCGUGAAGUCGGAAUCGCUAGUAAUCGUGAAUCAGAAUGUCACGGUGAAUACGUUCCCGGGCCU
RNAcentral lists this ribosomal RNA (1210 nucleotides) under uncultured Halomonas sp. RNAcentral describes it as "bacterial SSU rRNA". It matches the Rfam family "Bacterial small subunit ribosomal RNA", at positions 170 to 1381 of the family's 1533-position model. Lineage: Bacteria; Pseudomonadati; Pseudomonadota; Gammaproteobacteria; Oceanospirillales; Halomonadaceae. The record is from RNAcentral.